Long non-coding RNA from Eubalaena glacialis (North Atlantic right whale), 416 nucleotides. RefSeq lists it as uncharacterized. The transcript has 3 exons. The record is from RefSeq and is a predicted model, not a curated record. Lineage: Eukaryota; Metazoa; Chordata; Mammalia; Artiodactyla; Balaenidae.
GGGCAUACAAAUGCUACCCUAUUUUAAAUGUAGGUGGCGUAUGUGUUCGUGUUUUAAUGUAUUCAGAGCCAUUGGGCAAUAAGCAGUCCAGAACAUGAAAACUCAAGCAGCAGAGAAAUAAACUGGUAGGUGGCAGCAGAAGAAAGAAUUCUUCAGAUUGAUGGCUACUGACAAAAUCUGCAUAGGAGAAGAGAUAGAGCAUGACAUACCACGACAAGCAAAGGGGGCAAAAAUGGAAACAGGACUACGAUCCCUGAUCUUGACUCUUAAAUGGUUCUUUUGAUCUCGCAGAAUGGAUGAAGACUAUAUGUUUUCUCAAAUGGAGGAUAGAAGUACACAGAACAAGGAAGCAAUAGCUCUAACCUGUUUAAUUCAGUGUGCUUUCUAAAAUAAAAACACCCGAACUGGAAAUGAAA